UGGGGGUACUCGAGUGGCGAACGGGUGAGUAACACGUGAGUAACCUGCCCUUGACUUCGGGAUAACUUCAGGAAACUGGGGCUAAUACCGGAUAGGAAUCCUUGCUGCAUGGUGGGGGUUGGAAAGCUUCGGCGGUUUUGGAUGGACUCGCGGCUUAUCAGCUUGUUGGUGGGGUAGUGGCUUACCAAGGUUUUGACGGGUAGCCGGCCUGAGAGGGCCACCGGCCACAUUGGGACUGAGAUACGGCCC
Molecule: ribosomal RNA, 249 nt
Filed under: Cutibacterium avidum
Lineage: Bacteria; Bacillati; Actinomycetota; Actinomycetes; Propionibacteriales; Propionibacteriaceae
Description: partial 16S ribosomal RNA
Rfam family: Bacterial small subunit ribosomal RNA
Source: RNAcentral